RNAcentral lists this ribosomal RNA (1114 nucleotides) under Cophecheilus bamen. RNAcentral describes it as "partial 16S ribosomal RNA". The stretch from base 182 to 1095 matches the Rfam family "Bacterial large subunit ribosomal RNA", at positions 568 to 2044 of the family's 2925-position model. Lineage: Eukaryota; Metazoa; Chordata; Actinopteri; Cypriniformes; Cyprinidae. The record is from RNAcentral.
CAGCUAGCUUAUCCACCAAUAUAACCAAACAAUAUAAAUAAAAUAGAAUAGGCCAAACACCAAAAACUAAACCAUUCUUUUACCUGAGUAUGGGAGACAGAAAAGGUUCAACCAAAGCAAUAGAAAUAGUACCGCAAGGGAAAGCUGAAAGAGAAAUGAAACAACCCAUAUAAGUACCAAAAAGCAAAGACUAAACCUUGUACCUUUUGCAUCAUGAUUUAGCCAGUAAACACAAGCAAAGAGACCUUUAGUUUGAAACCCCGAAACCAGGUGAGCUACCCCGAGACAGCCUAUUAAGGGCCAACCCGUCUCUGUGGCAAAAGAGUGGGAAGAGCUCCGGGUAGAAGUGACAGACCUACCGAACCUGGUGAUAGCUGGUUGCCUAAGAGAUGAAUAGAAGUUCAGCCUCGUAUACCUUAAAUCAAGCAAGCACUAAUCAAGACACCAAGAGAAAAAUACGAGAGUUAGUUAAAGGGGGUACAGCCCCUUUAACAAAGGAUACAACCUUACUCAGGAGGAUAAAGAUCAUAAUAUAUAAAACACGCUGUUCUAGUGGGCCUAAAAGCAGCCACCUAAACAGAAAGCGUUAAAGCUCAGACAGAAAUAAGUUUAUUAUUCUGAUAAAAAAUCUUAUUCCCCUAAAUACUAUUAGGCUAAUCCAUGCCCCCAUGGAAGAAAUUAUGCUAAAAUGAGUAACAAGAAGGCUCGCCCUUCUCCAAGCACAAGUGCAAGCCAAACCGGACCAACCAUUGGCAACUAACGAACUCAACCCAAGAGAGUAAUGUGAACCAUAAAAAAAACAAGAAAAACCCACAACUUAACAAUCGUUAACCCCACACUGGAGUGCUAUUUAAAGGAAAGACUAAAAGAAAAGGAAGGAACUCGGCAAACACAAGCCUCGCCUGUUUACCAAAAACAUCGCCUCCUGCAACACAGCCAUGUAUAGGAGGUCCAGCCUGCCCAGUGACUACAAGUUCAACGGCCGCGGUAUUUUGACCGUGCAAAGGUAGCGCAAUCACUUGUCUUUUAAAUAGAGACCUGUAUGAAUGGCUAAACGAGGGCUUAACUGUCUCCCCUUUCAAGUCAGUGAAAUUGAUCUGCCCGUGCAGAAGCG